Molecule: long non-coding RNA, 663 nt
Organism: Hyaena hyaena (striped hyena)
Lineage: Eukaryota; Metazoa; Chordata; Mammalia; Carnivora; Hyaenidae
Exons: 2
Source: RefSeq, a predicted model, not a curated record
GGGCGGUUUCUCCACGCCUGAGCCUUCCUGGCCCAAACCUGCGAGUGUGGUGCGGAGGGACGCGUGAACGGGUGACGUCCCCGUCGGCGCCCGGUUGGUGCGGGGCGCCUCGGGGCCUGCUCUGGCCUUCCCUGGCGGGGUUGCCCUAAGGAUGGUUCGAGGUGAUGCAGAUUGAGUCCUUAGCGCGCGCCGGACACGUAGUACCAAGUACACGUUAGCUGGUGUAUUUACCCUUAAAGACCUCUGUCGAUGGGCCCCAUGGGCCAGGUUUUGUGCUGGGUGAUGAAGUUGGAAAAUGAAGUACUUUAGUGAGAAGCCCUGUUCUGGGAAGAUCUUACUGUGCUGUACUCACACUGCUUGUGAUGAUGAGAGAGGAUACAACGCCCGCGUGAUGACGUGAAGGGACGUGUAUGACACAGGCAGUGUGACGUGUUAGGCUGCUGCUGACCUGCUGAGGGUGUGUCGGAAAGCAGGCACCUGCCUCUGGACCGAGGUUGACUGCGGUCACUGAAACUGUUGAAAGUGAACUUGUGGAUAAAGGGGGAGGGGGCACUGCAUACUCUACCACAAUAAAAAAAAAUAAUAGUGUAAUACACAAAAAUGCGUCAAGAUGUAUGCCAUGUUAAUUAUAUCUCAAUAAAGCUUUUAUAAACAAAACCAUAA